This 2392-nucleotide ribosomal RNA is filed under the name Escherichia coli. RNAcentral describes it as "partial 23S ribosomal RNA". It matches the Rfam family "Bacterial large subunit ribosomal RNA", at positions 572 to 2925 of the family's 2925-position model. The record is from RNAcentral. Lineage: Bacteria; Pseudomonadati; Pseudomonadota; Gammaproteobacteria; Enterobacterales; Enterobacteriaceae.
AGUGGGAGCACAGAGCAAUCUGUGUGACUGCGUACCUUUUGUAUAAUGGGUCAGCGACUUAUAUUCUGUAGCAAGGUUAACCGAAUAGGGGAGCCGAAGGGAAACCGAGUCUUAACUGGGCGUUAAGUUGCAGGGUAUAGACCCGAAACCCGGUGAUCUAGCCAUGGGCAGGUUGAAGGUUGGGUAACACUAACUGGAGGACCGAACCGACUAAUGUUGAAAAAUUAGCGGAUGACUUGUGGCUGGGGGUGAAAGGCCAAUCAAACCGGGAGAUAGCUGGUUCUCCCCGAAAGCUAUUUAGGUAGCGCCUCGUGAAUUCAUCUCCGGGGGUAGAGCACUGUUUCGGCAAGGGGGUCAUCCCGACUUACCAACCCGAUGCAAACUGCGAAUACCGGAGAAUGUUAUCACGGGAGACACACGGCGGGUGCUAACGUCCGUCGUGAAGAGGGAAACAACCCAGACCGCCAGCUAAGGUCCCAAAGUCAUGGUUAAGUGGGAAACGAUGUGGGAAGGCCCAGACAGCCAGGAUGUUGGCUUAGAAGCAGCCAUCAUUUAAAGAAAGCGUAAUAGCUCACUGGUCGAGUCGGCCUGCGCGGAAGAUGUAACGGGGCUAAACCAUGCACCGAAGCUGCGGCAGCGACACUGUGUGUUGUUGGGUAGGGGAGCGUUCUGUAAGCCUGUGAAGGUGUGCUGUGAGGCAUGCUGGAGGUAUCAGAAGUGCGAAUGCUGACAUAAGUAACGAUAAAGCGGGUGAAAAGCCCGCUCGCCGGAAGACCAAGGGUUCCUGUCCAACGUUAAUCGGGGCAGGGUGAGUCGACCCCUAAGGCGAGGCCGAAAGGCGUAGUCGAUGGGAAACAGGUUAAUAUUCCUGUACUUGGUGUUACUGCGAAGGGGGGACGGAGAAGGCUAUGUUGGCCGGGCGACGGUUGUCCCGGUUUAAGCGUGUAGGCUGGUUUUCCAGGCAAAUCCGGAAAAUCAAGGCUGAGGCGUGAUGACGAGGCACUACGGUGCUGAAGCAACAAAUGCCCUGCUUCCAGGAAAAGCCUCUAAGCAUCAGGUAACAUCAAAUCGUACCCCAAACCGACACAGGUGGUCAGGUAGAGAAUACCAAGGCGCUUGAGAGAACUCGGGUGAAGGAACUAGGCAAAAUGGUGCCGUAACUUCGGGAGAAGGCACGCUGAUAUGUAGGUGAAGUCCCUCGCGGAUGGAGCUGAAAUCAGUCGAAGAUACCAGCUGGCUGCAACUGUUUAUUAAAAACACAGCACUGUGCAAACACGAAAGUGGACGUAUACGGUGUGACGCCUGCCCGGUGCCGGAAGGUUAAUUGAUGGGGUCAGCGCAAGCGAAGCUCUUGAUCGAAGCCCCGGUAAACGGCGGCCGUAACUAUAACGGUCCUAAGGUAGCGAAAUUCCUUGUCGGGUAAGUUCCGACCUGCACGAAUGGCGUAAUGAUGGCCAGGCUGUCUCCACCCGAGACUCAGUGAAAUUGAACUCGCUGUGAAGAUGCAGUGUACCCGCGGCAAGACGGAAAGACCCCGUGAACCUUUACUAUAGCUUGACACUGAACAUUGAGCCUUGAUGUGUAGGAUAGGUGGGAGGCUUUGAAGUGUGGACGCCAGUCUGCAUGGAGCCGACCUUGAAAUACCACCCUUUAAUGUUUGAUGUUCUAACGUGGACCCGUGAUCCGGGUUGCGGACAGUGUCUGGUGGGUAGUUUGACUGGGGCGGUCUCCUCCUAAAGAGUAACGGAGGAGCACGAAGGUUGGCUAAUCCUGGUCGGACAUCAGGAGGUUAGUGCAAUGGCAUAAGCCAGCUUGACUGCGAGCGUGACGGCGCGAGCAGGUGCGAAAGCAGGUCAUAGUGAUCCGGUGGUUCUGAAUGGAAGGGCCAUCGCUCAACGGAUAAAAGGUACUCCGGGGAUAACAGGCUGAUACCGCCCAAGAGUUCAUAUCGACGGCGGUGUUUGGCACCUCGAUGUCGGCUCAUCACAUCCUGGGGCUGAAGUAGGUCCCAAGGGUAUGGCUGUUCGCCAUUUAAAGUGGUACGCGAGCUGGGUUUAGAACGUCGUGAGACAGUUCGGUCCCUAUCUGCCGUGGGCGCUGGAGAACUGAGGGGGGCUGCUCCUAGUACGAGAGGACCGGAGUGGACGCAUCACUGGUGUUCGGGUUGUCAUGCCAAUGGCACUGCCCGGUAGCUAAAUGCGGAAGAGAUAAGUGCUGAAAGCAUCUAAGCACGAAACUUGCCCCGAGAUGAGUUCUCCCUGACCCUUUAAGGGUCCUGAAGGAACGUUGAAGACGACGACGUUGAUAGGCCGGGUGUGUAAGCGCAGCGAUGCGUUGAGCUAACCGGUACUAAUGAACCGUGAGGCUUAACCUUACAACGCCGAAGGUGUUU